UGGGCGUAAGCGCGCGCAGGCGGUUUCUUAAGUCUGAUGUGAAAGCCCACGCCUCUACCGUGGAGGGUCAUUGGAAACUGGGGAACUUGAGUGCCCAAGAGAAAAGCGGAAUUCCACGUGUAGCGGUGAAAUGCGUAGAGAUGUGGAGGAACACCAGUGGCGAAGGCGGCUCUUUGGUCUGUAACUGACGCUGAGGCGCGAAAGCGUGGGGAGCAAACAGGAUUAGAUACCCUGGUAGUCCACGCCGUAAACGAUGAGUGCUAAGUGUUAGAGGGUUUCCGCCCUUUAGUGCUGCAGCUAACGCAUUAAGCACUCCGCCUGGGGAGUACGGUCGCAAGACUGAAACUCAAAGGAAUUGACGGGGGCCCGCACACAGCGGUGGAGCAUGUGGUUUAAUUC
Molecule: ribosomal RNA, 399 nt
Filed under: Priestia flexa
Lineage: Bacteria; Bacillati; Bacillota; Bacilli; Caryophanales; Bacillaceae
Description: bacterial SSU rRNA
Rfam family: Bacterial small subunit ribosomal RNA
Source: RNAcentral